RNAcentral lists this long non-coding RNA (1533 nucleotides) under Sus scrofa (pig). RNAcentral's name for it is "lncRNA (ENSSSCG00015008245.1)". The record is from RNAcentral. Lineage: Eukaryota; Metazoa; Chordata; Mammalia; Artiodactyla; Suidae.
AAUCAGUGACGGUAAGUGGUUUUAGAGAAAACAGCCCUGAGCACUGUUCCUUCUAAGAGGACUGUUACACCUUAAUAAAUUCUCUAGCUGUUUUUUGACUGUUUGCAGAUAACAGGAAACUCUUAUUCAAAAAUAUAUUAACCUCCCACCCCUACCCCCCAGCCAAUCAGCCCGGCAGCAUUUGAACUUGCUGGGGCACAUAGCCAAAGCAGCUUUUACUUGGUCUCAGCCAUUCCCCCCCCCCCCCCCCCCCCCCCCACACACACCUGUUCCUUCUCUGUAGGCUUCUGCUCGGGGUCAGGCAGCCUGGAACUGCAUUUGAAAUGAUUCUGAACAUAUAACAGGAAAGGAGUGUACACCCACCAAACAAGACCACGUAAGGAACACUGUGAUCGGUGCAUCUGUGCGGCUCACUCCGGAGUCCCAGCCCUCACCAGCUGCGUGGUGACAUCUCUUGGAAGGCAUUAUCUACCUUAACCCACGGUUCUGAGAUGCUGGGCAGGGGGACUGCCUUUGCCAUCUGGAGAGCCGCUACCUGUCCUGCUCCUUCCGGUGGCCCGAGAGAGGGUGCGAUUUUAAAAAAUUCAUAUAUGCAGAGAAGAAAAAUUUGACCCAGAGGAAAGGCCAUGUGAGAAGGUCGUUGUCUGCAAGCCAAGGAGAGAGACCUCAGAAGAAACCAAACCUGCUGACACCGUGACUUUGGGCCACCAGCUUCCAGAACAUUCCCAGGCCAAGGAUCAGAUCUGAACCGAAGUUGCAACCGACACCACCGCUGCUGGACCGGGCCAGGAUUGAACCUGCAUCCUGGCGCUGCAGAGAUGCUGCCGAUCCUGUUGCACCAUGGCGAGAACUCCCCCAUGGAAAGUUUUUUAAGCAAAAAGGAAAUCUUUGGGGUCAGAUGACUGGGGUAGCUUCUAACAACUGCAGAGUGAUUCCAGGCACCAGGGCCUCACCUGCGAGGUCCUCGUACCACACUCUCUCGCUGAGGCCCUUGGCCUGGUUUGUGCAGAGAAAACGACCACUAAGAGAAUGCCAGAGUCUCUUUGCCCAAAAAAAGGACAUCUCCCAUCGCAGAUGCUCGCUUUGCAAUGUGACUUUGGCGUUCCUCACGGUGGGAGCCGGGGUCUAUGUUUUCUGCAUUUGAAUCUGGGUGGACCCGUGACUAUAGUGGAACUGGCCCUACAUGACUUCCAAGGCUGGGUCACGAAGGACGACACAGUUGCGGCCUGGUUUGCUGGCACAUUGCCUUUGGAGUCCUGAGCUGAGCUGCCCAGGCAGGAGCCCGAGGCUGCCAUGCUGUCCCAUGAAAGUGUUCUGACCUAGAGCCCCAGCUGAAGGCCCAUCGAGCAGCCAGCAUCAACCACCUCAUAUGAGUGAAGCUGCCUCCACGGACUCUGGUCCCCUGCUAUUGAGUUCUCCCUGUAGAGGCCCCAGGUAUUGGGGAGCAGGGACACGUCCUCCCCAGUGCGCCCUGUCAGAAUUCCUGCCCUGCAGAAUCUGCGCGCAUGAUAAAAUGGUAGUUUUAGGCUCCGC